RNAcentral lists this ribosomal RNA (492 nucleotides) under uncultured bacterium. RNAcentral's name for it is "partial 16S ribosomal RNA". The stretch from base 54 to 492 matches the Rfam family "Bacterial small subunit ribosomal RNA", at positions 38 to 507 of the family's 1533-position model. The record is from RNAcentral.
GGGGGGGGGGGGGGGGGGGCGGGGCGGGGGCGGGGGGGGGGGGGGGGCAGGGAGGGGGUGCGCUUAGGGGGGGCGAGUGGCGGACGGGUGAGGAAUACAUCGGAAUCUACUUUUUCGUGGGGGAUAACGUGGGGAGACUUACGCUAAUACCGCAUACGACCUACGGGUGAAAGCAGGGGAUCGUCGGACCUUGCGCGAUUGAAUGAGCCGAUGUCGGAUUAGCUAGUUGGCGGGGUAAAGGCCCACCAAGGCGACGAUCCGUAGCGGGUCUGAGAGGAUGAUCAGCCACACUGGAACUGAGACACGGUCCAGACUCCUACGGGAGGCACCAGUGGGGAAUAUUGGACAAUGGGCGCAAGCCUGAUCCAGCCAUACCGCGUGGGUGAAGAAGGCCUUCGGGUUGUAAAGCCCUUUUGUUGGGAAAGAAAAGCAGCAGGUUAAUACCCCGCUGUUCUGACGGUACCCAAAGAAUAAGCACCGGCUAACUUCGUG